RNAcentral lists this ribosomal RNA (767 nucleotides) under Pseudonocardia sp. Its description in RNAcentral is "bacterial SSU rRNA". It matches the Rfam family "Bacterial small subunit ribosomal RNA", at positions 66 to 845 of the family's 1533-position model. Lineage: Bacteria; Bacillati; Actinomycetota; Actinomycetes; Pseudonocardiales; Pseudonocardiaceae. The record is from RNAcentral.
GCGGUAAGGCCCCUUCGGGGGUACACGAGCGGCGAACGGGUGAGUAACACGUGGGUGACCUGCCCUCAGCUCUGGGAUAAGCCCGGGAAACUGGGUCUAAUACCGGAUAUGACCUGCUGUUGCAUGACAGCGGGUGGAAAGUUUUUUCGGCUGGGGAUGGGCCCGCGGCCUAUCAGCUUGUUGGUGGGGUGAUGGCCUACCAAGGCGACGACGGGUAGCCGGCCUGAGAGGGCGACCGGCCACACUGGGACUGAGAUACGGCCCAGACUCCUACGGGAGGCAGCAGUGGGGAAUAUUGCGCAAUGGGCGAAAGCCUGACGCAGCGACGCCGCGUGGGGGAUGACGGCCUUCGGGUUGUAAACCUCUUUCGACCGGGACGAAGGGAAACUGACGGUACCGGUAGAAGAAGCACCGGCCAACUACGUGCCAGCAGCCGCGGUAAUACGUAGGGUGCGAGCGUUGUCCGGAAUUAUUGGGCGUAAAGAGCUCGUAGGCGGUGUGUCACGUCGGUCGUGAAAACUUGGGGCUCAACCCUGAGCGUGCGGUCGAUACGGGCAUCACUUGAGUUCGGCAGGGGAGACUGGAAUUCCUGGUGUAGCGGUGAAAUGCGCAGAUAUCAGGAGGAACACCGGUGGCGAAGGCGGGUCUCUGGGCCGAUACUGACGCUGAGGAGCGAAAGCGUGGGGAGCGAACAGGAUUAGAUACCCUGGUAGUCCACGCCGUAAACGGUGGGCACUAGGUGUGGGGGCCAUUCCACGGUCUCUGUG